RNAcentral lists this ribosomal RNA (107 nucleotides) under Caerostris darwini. The record is from RNAcentral. Lineage: Eukaryota; Metazoa; Arthropoda; Arachnida; Araneae; Araneidae.
AACGGCCAUACCAUGCUGAAUAUACCGGUUCUCGUUAGAUCACCGAAGUCAACAUCAUUGGGCGCGGUCAGUACUUGGGUGGGUGACCCCCUGGGAACACCUGGGGU